AUGCAAUCUUAUGAUGAAAAACUUAACUUGGAAGUUUCUAUACCUAGAAAACUUUAUGAUGAGUGGGAACCUACUACAAAGAUUAAAAUUAAAGAUCAUGAGUGUUAUGCUUUGUGUGAUUUGGGUGCUAGUGUUUCCACGAUUCCGAAAAUUUUAUGUAAUAUUCUAGAUUUCCAUGAUCUUGAUGAUUGCUCUUUAAAUUUGCACCUUGCGGAUUCUACCAUUAAGAAGCCUAUGGGAAGAAUCAAUGAUGUUCUUAUUGUUGUAAAUAGGAAUUAUGUGCCCAUAGAUUUUAUCGUUCUUGAUAUAGAUUGCAAUCUUUCUUGUCCUAUUAUUCUUGGUAGACCUUUCCUUAGAACAAUUGGUGCGAUUAUUGAUAUGAAGGAAGGGAAUAUUAGAUUCCAAUUUCCAUUAAGUAAAGGCAUGGAGCACUUUCCAAGAAAUAAAGUUAAAUUACCUUAUGAAUCUAUCAUGCGAGCUACUUAUGAAUUGAGUGCCAAAGAUGGCACUACUUAG
RNAcentral lists this ribosomal RNA (516 nucleotides) under Triticum aestivum (bread wheat). Its description in RNAcentral is "partial small subunit ribosomal RNA". Lineage: Eukaryota; Viridiplantae; Streptophyta; Magnoliopsida; Poales; Poaceae. The record is from RNAcentral.